CAAACCAAAGCUGGCGACCGGCGCACGGGUGAGUAACACGUAUCCAACCUGCCUCAUACUCGGGGAUAGCCUUUCGAAAGAAAGAUUAAUAUCCGAUAGCAUAUAUUUCCCGCAUGGGUUUUAUAUUAAAGAAAUUCGGUAUGAGAUGGGGAUGCGUUCCAUUAGUUUGUUGGGGGGGUAACGGCCCACCAAGACUACGAUGGAUAGGGGUUCUGAGAGGAAGGUCCCCCACAUUGGAACUGAGACACGGUCCAA
RNAcentral lists this ribosomal RNA (255 nucleotides) under uncultured bacterium. RNAcentral describes it as "partial 16S ribosomal RNA". It matches the Rfam family "Bacterial small subunit ribosomal RNA", at positions 74 to 334 of the family's 1533-position model. The record is from RNAcentral.